Molecule: ribosomal RNA, 303 nt
Filed under: uncultured bacterium
Lineage: Bacteria
Description: partial 16S ribosomal RNA
Rfam family: Bacterial small subunit ribosomal RNA
Source: RNAcentral
AGCAGUCGCCACGGUAAAACGAAGGGGGCUAGCGUUGCUCGGAAUUACUGGGCGUAAAGGGAGCGUAGGCGGAUGAAUUAGUCAGGGGUGAAAUCCCGGGGCUCAACCUCGGAACUGCCUUUGAUACUGUUCAUCUUGAGUAUGGGAGAGGUGUGUGGAACUCCGAGUGUAGAGGUGAAAUUCGUAGAUAUUCGGAAGAACACCAGUGGCGAAGGCGACACACUGGCCCAUUACUGACGCUGAGGCUCGAAAGCGUGGGGAGCAAACAGGAUUAGAUACCCCCGUAGUCCCUGUCUCUUAUAC